UUUCCCCAGCCUGGAAGUCCUUAAACAGAAUCCCGUCAAGACCACAAAACAGCUCUUCAAGUUUAACAUUAACCAAAUUCCCAUUGCUAACAUUGGCAUUUAUGGUGUCCAUAUUGAUGCCCUGUGUCAUGGAAUCCCAUCCUACACUGCUGAUGCAAACCAAGUGGAUAAGUUUUAUGAAGAUGAUUGCAACACCAGCAGCAUUGUCACCAUUCUAGGCAUCAGUUUCUGUUUUUAAUCCAGUAUGGCACGCUUCAUAGCAAAUCCAU
Long non-coding RNA from Bufo bufo (common toad), 269 nucleotides. RefSeq lists it as uncharacterized. NCBI's taxonomy places the organism in Eukaryota, Metazoa, Chordata, Amphibia, Anura, Bufonidae. The transcript is spliced from 3 exons. The record is from RefSeq and is a predicted model, not a curated record.